AUUGAACGCUGGCGGCAGGCCUAACACAUGCAAGUCGAGCGGAUGAAGGGAGCUUGCUCCUGGAUUCAGCGGCGGACGGGUGAGUAAUGCCUAGGAAUCUGCCUGGUAGUGGGGGAUAACGUCGGGAACCGGGCGUUAUUACCGCAUCGGUCCGGAGGGAGAAGGUGGGGGAUCUUGGACCCUCCCGCUACCGGAUGACCUAGGGCGGAUUAGCUAGUUGGUGGGGGAAAGGCCUACCAAGGCGACGAUCCGUAACUGGUCUGAGAGGAUGAUCAGUCACACUGGAACUGAGACACGGUCCAGACUCCUACGGGAGGCAGCAGUGGGGAAUAUUGGACAAUGGGCGAAAGCCUGAUCCAGCCAUGCCGCGUGUGUGAAGAAGGUCUUCGGAUUGUAAAGCACUUUAAGUUGGGAGGAAGGGCAGUAAGUUAAUACCUUGCUGUUUUGACGUUACCAACAGAAUAAGCACCGGCUAACUUCGUG
Molecule: ribosomal RNA, 483 nt
Filed under: uncultured bacterium
Lineage: Bacteria
Description: partial 16S ribosomal RNA
Rfam family: Bacterial small subunit ribosomal RNA
Source: RNAcentral